Molecule: non-coding RNA, 253 nt
Organism: Pelobates cultripes (western spadefoot toad)
Lineage: Eukaryota; Metazoa; Chordata; Amphibia; Anura; Pelobatidae
Source: the annotation of a GenBank genome assembly
CUGUAUCUUAAUGAUAAUACUCCCCUCCCUGACACUUGCCUUUGUUUUUAUUUAUAAUUGUCUCUUCCUUGUGCUGGAUCUCAGUACCUGGGUGCUGAUAUUUUAUUCUCCUCUGCCCAUGAUGUCUGCAGUUUCCCUUCUGUGGAAUUGAGUGUACUAAUGGAUUGUGGGUAAAUCUGAUUGGCAAUGAAACAGAAUCUUGCUUUAAGCUCCGCCCAUUGCCAAAUUGUGUCAAUCUGACUGCUAUGCAUGC